GACGAACGCUGGCGGCGUGCUUAACACAUGCAAGUCGAACGGAAAGGCACUGCUUUUGUGGGGUGCUCGAGUGGCGAACGGGUGAGUAACACGUGAGUAACCUGCCCUUGACUUUGGGAUAACUUCAGGAAACUGGGGCUAAUACCGGAUAGGAGCUCCUGCUGCAUGGAGGGGGGUGGAAAGUUUCUGCGGGUGGGGAUGGACUCGCGGCUUACCAGCUAGUUGGUGGGGUAGUGGUUUACCAAGGCUUUGACGGGUAGCCGGCAUGAGAGGGUGAACGGCAACAUGAGGCCUGAGAGAGGCAGCAGACUCCUACGAGGGGCAACAGGCGGGAGUCUUGCACAGUGGGCCCAAGCCUGAUGCAGCAACGCCGCGUGCGUGAUGCCGGUCUUCGGGUUGUAAACCGCUUUCGCCUGAGACGAAGCUUUAGUGACGGUAAUGAGUAAAGAAGCACCGGCUAACUACGUG
This 468-nucleotide ribosomal RNA is filed under the name uncultured bacterium. RNAcentral's name for it is "partial 16S ribosomal RNA". It matches the Rfam family "Bacterial small subunit ribosomal RNA", at positions 28 to 507 of the family's 1533-position model. The record is from RNAcentral.